AUGAAGCCAUACAUGCCCACGGUACUGAGAGCCCCGAGGGUGGUGGCCAUCCUGGCCAUGGUUGUGGCGGCGGCACCCGCCACAGCCGUGAACGCCCAGCAGUGCGGCUCCCAGGCUGGUGGCGCGACGUGCGGAAACUGCCUCUGCUGCAGCAAAUUCGGAUACUGCGGCAGCGGCGACGCCUACUGCGGCGCCGGCUGCCAGAGCCAGUGCAGCGGCUGCGGCGGUACCCUCACUCCUCCCGGCGGUCAGGGCGUGUUGUCCAUCCUGUUCAGAGACCUCUUCGACCGGCUCCUCCUCCACCGCAAUGACUGCCAAGAAGCCCGCGGGUUCUACACGUACGAGGCCUUCCUCGCCGCCUGCCGCGUUCCCGUCAUUCGGCCCCACGGGGAGCACGGAGACACGGAAGCGGGAGGUGGCGGCCUUCCUCAGGCAGACCUCGCACGAGACCACUGGCGGGUGGCCGGCGGCGCCCGACGGACCGUACGCCUGGGGCUACUGUUUCAAACAGGAGCACGGCUCGCCGGGAAGCUACUGCGAGCCAAAGCUGGAGUGGCGGGUUGCUUUUAUUUUUUGCCUCAAACCCUCCAGUAUUUCUUUCUCCAACACACUGACAAGAAAGGACCCACAUAUGUGUACACCAACAUGGCAAUAAUUAAUUUGGUCAAAGUCCACAAUCCCAGACUCUCGGUGCCACGUCACAAAAUCCCCUCCUAA
This 717-nucleotide ribosomal RNA is filed under the name Triticum aestivum (bread wheat). RNAcentral describes it as "partial small subunit ribosomal RNA". Lineage: Eukaryota; Viridiplantae; Streptophyta; Magnoliopsida; Poales; Poaceae. The record is from RNAcentral.